UGGGCAAUCUGCCCUUCACUCCGGGACAAGCCCUGGAAACGGGGUCUAAUACCGGAUAUCACUCCUGCCUGCAUGGGCGGGGGUUGAAAGCUCCGGCGGUGAAGGAUGAGCCCGCGGCCUAUCAGCUUGUUGGUGGGGUAAUGGCCCACCAAGGCGACGACGGGUAGCCGGCCUGAGAGGGCGACCGGCCACACUGGGACUGAGACACGGCCCAGACUCCUACGGGAGGCAG
Molecule: ribosomal RNA, 232 nt
Filed under: uncultured bacterium
Lineage: Bacteria
Description: partial 16S ribosomal RNA
Rfam family: Bacterial small subunit ribosomal RNA
Source: RNAcentral